Molecule: long non-coding RNA, 929 nt
Filed under: Rattus norvegicus (Norway rat)
Lineage: Eukaryota; Metazoa; Chordata; Mammalia; Rodentia; Muridae
Description: long non-coding RNA NONRATT031713
Source: RNAcentral
AGCCACCAUGUGGUUGCUGGGAUUUGAACUCAGGUCCUCUGGAAGAGCAGUCAGUGCUCUAACCACUGAGCCAUCUCUCCAGCCCCUAGAGAUGCUUUUUAAAUGACCUUGGUUUUUAUUAUUUUAAUAUUUAUACUAUUUAUUAUUUGUAGACAUGGCAUUUCUAUAUUAAUACUAAAAAGACUCACAUAAUAUGCAUGUUUUAGAAAUACAACUCCUUUGAGGAGUUGACGAGGUCUUAGGUAGCCAAGGCUGGUCUCAAACUUCGGAUUGUCCUGUUCUUCCCUCCAAGUGCUGGGACUUCAGCCAUGGCCACCCUGCCCAGCUCAGAAACAGUCACUCUUUGUCUCAUAUUCAUCAAGUCUAUUAUUUCAGCUGGAAAGCCAUCUCAACACCCGCCUGUAGAACGGUGGAAGAAUUUCUGGCUGGGAGUUCAGCUCUGGGAUACAGUGAUUGCUACCGAGAAGAAAACCCUCGGUUCGAUCUCCAGAACAAAACCAAAAUAAAACAACAAAACCAAAUAUAUUUUCUGUAGCUGGCAAACAGGAACCAUUCACCGUCUUUGGCUACUCUCAUUCCACUCUCUGUCUAGGGUCACGACUGGCUCGUCCUGGCUAUGAGACUCACUCUCGUUGCACCAUGGAUAAGAAUGCCCUUUUAUUUCUUGUACAAGCUGAAUGAUGUCUGUUGCAUGUAUGUACAUAUUUUGCUUUGUAGACACUUGGGCUAUUUCUACUUUUUGGUUGUUACCAACAAAAAUGAUAAAAUUAUUUAGUCAAGUGCCUGACUUCAAUUGUUGUCAAUAUGCACUUGUGAGUGGACGUGCCGUAUCAAUAUUGGACUAUAUGCUUAAUUUUUGAAGCGCUUCCACUUUUUGCCGUAGCAGCCGCACUACUAUCUUUGGCACAGAUUUCAAUUUCUCAUCAUUC